CAAGGCUAAGCGGGUGUGGCGCCCCAACAGGUGAUUCCAAGGGUGGAGUUCCGAGUGCACCCGCAGUACAGGGCUCGAUUUGCGGGCCGGUGGGCAGUUCCGGGAUGUCCACCAGCUUACGCAAGAACAGCAGGGCAUACAGCACAUCGCCCUGGCUCACAUUGAGUCGCACACGAAGGAGCAGGUCAUUCCUGCUGGACUCCACAAGGAGGAGGCGGCAGGAGCCCAGCUGAGAGCACACCGCCAUGGUCUCUGACAUGGUGGGGUACGGCAGCCCCUCCAUCCUGCACAGCUCCACAUGUUGCCUGUACACCUGGAAACAAAAAGCAAAUCCAAGGAUGAGAAAAAAAUGUGCCCUCAGAAGCAGCCGGGGAAGGCCAAGAGACAAAAUAGGCGGGGCCUAUUCUGGAGGUAAAGCCACAGCUGGGACUCCCUCACAGCAUGUGGUGACUUUUGGAGACGGCCUGGCCAAUGGUCCAACAGCCAGCAUCAGGAGGGAAGGAGGCCACAAACCUGGGGAACCCAGAGGAGUCUGUGGUUAGAAUUUCUUGGCCCCCCUUCUGGAUCUGUAAGAACAGCUUGAGAAUGGCCCUAGGACCUACCAGUCGGCUGGACACCCGGUUCAUCAUGAUGCGC
Phyllostomus hastatus (greater spear-nosed bat) is the source of this 636-nucleotide long non-coding RNA. RefSeq lists it as uncharacterized. The transcript has 4 exons. The record is from RefSeq and is a predicted model, not a curated record. NCBI's taxonomy places the organism in Eukaryota, Metazoa, Chordata, Mammalia, Chiroptera, Phyllostomidae.